CAGCUGCUCUCCAGGGUGACAUUCAACAGAGGACAGGGAGCCACUGCAGGAGGGGCGGAGGGUCACAGGCAGAUGUCCUCUCCUGGGAAUCCAGUCCAGCCCUCUGCUAAGGGGCCAGAUGUCUAUGGGGCUGGCAUAGGACAGACUGUUCCUCUGUGACCUUGCCGUGGGGACUGAGUGUCAGGUGUGAAUCUAGGAAUCCAAAGGACUCAGAUGUCACCUGGAGGAGGUCUGACUCCUGCUACUCCCUGUCUUCCUGCAAACAGCCAGUAACAGAUAAACCACAGGGCAGUCCCGGGAGACCUUGGAGACUGGCCAGUGUCUGUGAGUCAGCUUCGAAGUCAGGCUUCCUUUGGACACUCAAACAGUCGACUGCAUUAUCCCUGUGGACUUCAUGCACAUAUGUCUCCGUGAACUGCGAGUGUACUGCGCAGACUUACUGUGUCUAGCCGAAGUUCAAGACAAGAAUAGAUAUUCCAGAUCAAGGGAUGAAUGUAAUGAAAACUCUUCAGAAUGUGUUCUGUAACCACACAA
RNAcentral lists this long non-coding RNA (534 nucleotides) under Cricetulus griseus (Chinese hamster). RNAcentral's name for it is "lncRNA (ENSCGRG00015040069.1)". The record is from RNAcentral. Lineage: Eukaryota; Metazoa; Chordata; Mammalia; Rodentia; Cricetidae.